Long non-coding RNA from Pipra filicauda (Wire-tailed manakin), 1569 nucleotides. RefSeq lists it as uncharacterized. The record is from RefSeq and is a predicted model, not a curated record. The transcript has 4 exons. Lineage: Eukaryota; Metazoa; Chordata; Aves; Passeriformes; Pipridae.
AAAAGGGGUUCGCACACCGGGUCUGAGGAGAUCCCCUCGCACCUGCUUGGUUCUGUGUCUCCCAUGGAAGGCAACACACUCCCCGUGCCUCCCCUGCUCCGGAGUGCACCCCUUGUCCUGAGAGUACUCUCUUCUGGCUGCUGCAGCCAAAUGUGACCGAGGUCCCCGAGAUAAUGAAGCUCCUGCUUGUAAAAAUUGGUAACUAAGGAGAAAGGUCCUUCAAAACCUGCACCACUUCUGGGCCAAACGCCUCACUAGAACCACCGUUAACUACAAGGCAUAGGCCAGCCAGAUAAAUCAUAAAGUUUAUUUUCCCCACUUUAUUACAAAAUGAAUGUGAAGCGUGGCUAUCCUAUUCCUAAAAGUGGAAUCAGUGGGAGCUUCUAGUUUGGACUUGCCAUCACUGCUGUUUGGAGAGGAGUACAGCUCUCAGCAAACAUCACCAGCACUGGGCUUCAGAAACCAUCUGACUGACAGAACAGCCGUUUUUUACUAGUUUGGGUGUGUCUGAAUCCAGAAAGGCGGCCACAGACCCAGCUAUGUGGGAUCUGCCUGCAGUACCAUUUGCAGGCGCUUCAGUACAGUGGAGCACAGCCCUGUGAAGACAAACCUGCUAAAUAAACAGACAUAAGAACAACCCUACUCCUGAAUGAGAAAAAAAUUACACCUUCCAGACUAGAAGCAAGAAACUACAAAGCUCAACUCUGCCAAGCUGCUCUCACACCCCAGGGUUAGAUCCUCUCCAUACUGGAUGGUGAAGUCUAUGUGCUGCAGGACGAUGUUGAUACUUUCCUCGUCAGAGCGAUCGAAAGGCAGAAAUCGAACCAUUCCAUAGUCAUCAAUCUGGAGGGAGGAGCCAAAAGAAAAUGCAGUAAGGUAACUCUCAGUCACAGCACUCUAAGCCACCUCCUUAAACCACACUUGUCUGCACUGCUAAAAUACCACUCAAAGCCACGCUGCAAAACAGUGGCAAUUCCCCACUCAGAGAGUUCUACACGAUAGAAAAAGCCAUUUCCCAAAGGAUUCACAGAAAAUGUAUUGGCUACAAUCCAAACAUCAAGAGUAUAGUAUCAAUAGCAUCAAGAAUCUUAUGCUAAUCUGAAAAAAUAAAGAGCUGAGUUAAAAGAGGCAAAAAGUGAUAUUGAAUUUAAGGAUACCAGUUCAAAAGCAAUAUACCUACCAAUCCACAUAUAGAUUUAGUCAGCUUCUUAAACCUUUUGCUUUUCAAUAUAUUUGUAGAAUCUUCAAUCAUAGAAUACAUGUCUGGAUCUAAGUACCUGGGAGAAACAAAGUCAUCAUGAACACUCAAAGUCUGUCACUUAGAAUGACACAAGAGAUGCAAGAUGAUUAUUUACAGAAAAAUCCAGAGAUCAGUACAAACAUGGAGCUGUUCUUUUGACUCUGUAAGCAUCCUAUUCAGCUGUUUAAAGACUAUGUUUAAUAUAAACCAAAUCCAUCUUGUCCCAUUCCAAAAGAGGAUGUUUAAAUUGUGAGAAACAUUAGACUGAAUUUUGAGCGAACUUUGCCUCAAUAUAUCACACUACAGAGUAAAUAAUUUUUUGGAACUUA